This is an RNA transcript of Vombatus ursinus (common wombat), 3639 nucleotides long. It is a transcript of the gene named integrator complex subunit 6, with no coding region annotated. The transcript is spliced from 19 exons. NCBI's taxonomy places the organism in Eukaryota, Metazoa, Chordata, Mammalia, Diprotodontia, Vombatidae. The record is from RefSeq and is a predicted model, not a curated record.
UCCCGGGGGCCGCGCUCCCCCGCCCCACGUAGCGGCGGCCGCUGCUGCCGCCGCCUCCACCUCCUCCACCAGCUCCACCACCACCACCAUCUCCUCCUCCUCUUCCUCCACCACCUCGGGCCCCGGUGUCCCCGGCCAGCACUAUGCCCAUCUUACUGUUCCUGAUAGACACGUCCGCCUCUAUGAACCAGCGCAGCCAUCUGGGCACCACCUACCUGGACACGGCCAAAGGCGCGGUAGAGACCUUCAUGAAGCUCCGUGCCCGGGAUCCAGCCAGCAGAGGAGACAGGUAUAUGCUGGUCACUUUCGAAGAGCCUCCCUAUGCUAUUAAGGCUGGAUGGAAAGAAAACCACGCCACGUUUAUGAAUGAACUGAAAAACCUUCAAGCUGAAGGACUUACGACUCUUGGCCAAUCCCUAAGGACAGCUUUUGAUUUAUUAAAUUUAAAUAGAUUAGUAACUGGCAUAGACAACUAUGGGCAGGGAAGAAACCCUUUUUUCCUGGAGCCAGCAAUAAUUAUAACAAUUACUGAUGGGAGCAAGUUGACUACUACCAGUGGAGUCCAGGAGGAGCUCCAUUUACCUCUUAAUUCACCUUUGCCUGGAAGUGAAUUGACCAAGGAACCUUUCCGCUGGGAUCAGAGACUCUUUGCAUUAGUGUUGCGGUUGCCUGGUACCAUGGCUGUUGAAUCAGAGCAGUUGACAGGUGUGCCUCUAGAUGAUUCUGCAAUCACACCAAUGUGUGAGGUGACAGGAGGCCGCUCAUAUUCUGUGUGUUCUCCAAGAAUGCUUAAUCAGUGUCUGGAGUCCUUGGUGCAAAAGGUGCAAAGUGGGGUGGUGAUAAACUUUGAAAAAGCAGGACCAGAUCCUUCCCCCAUAGAAGAUGGACAGACAGAACUAUCAAGACCUUUUGGAUCUCAACCUUGGCACAGCUGUCAUAAGCUUAUCUACGUCAGACCAAACCCUAAAACUGGGGUUCCAAUAGGUCACUGGCCUGUUCCAGAAUCCUUUUGGCCAGAUCAAAAUUCUCCAACACUACCACCUCGGACAUCACACCCUGUGGUGAAGUUUUCUUGUACUGACUGUGAACCAAUGGUUAUUGAUAAACUGCCUUUUGACAAAUAUGAAUUAGAACCUUCACCACUGACCCAGUUUAUCCUGGAAAGGAAAUCCCCUCAAACCUGUUGGCAGGUAUAUGUGAGCAAUAGUGCAAAAUAUAGUGAACUUGGUCAUCCUUUUGGUUACUUGAAAGCUAGUACAGCAUUGAAUUGUGUCAAUUUAUUUGUGAUGCCUUAUAAUUAUCCAGUCCUCCUUCCUCUUUUAGAUGACUUGUUCAAGGUGCAUAAAGCAAAGCCAACAAUAAAGUGGAGACAGUCAUUUGAAAGUUAUUUGAAGACCAUGCCUCCCUACUAUCUUGGGCCCUUGAAGAAAGCUGUUAGAAUGAUGGGAGCGCCUAACCUUAUAGCAGACAGUGUGGAAUAUGGACUUAGUUAUAGUGUCAUUUCAUACCUCAAGAAAUUGAGUCAACAGGCCAAAAUAGAAUCUGAUAGAGUCAUCGGAUCUGUAGGCAAAAAAGUAGUGCAGGAAACUGGAAUUAAGGUCCGAAGCCGAUCACACAAUCUGUCAAUGGCAUAUAGGAAAGAUUUUCAACAUCUGCUACAGGGAAUUAAUGAGGAAGUUCCUCACAGACUUCUAGACCUCAACAUGAAGGAAUACACUGGGUUCCAAGUUGCUUUGCUGAAUAAGGAUUUGAAGCCACAGACCUUUAGAAAUGCUUAUGAUAUACCCAGACGAAAUCUUUUGGAUCAUUUAACAAGGAUGAGAUCUAAUCUUUUGAAGACAACCCGUAAAUAUCUUAAAGGUCAAGAUGAAGAUCAAGUGCACAGUGUUCCUAUAGCACAAAUGGGGAAUUACCAAGAGUACCUCAAGCAGAUACCCUCUCCUCUUAGAGAACUUGACCCUGACCAGCCUCGAAGGCUACAUACAUUUGGGAACCCCUUCAAGCUAGACAAAAAGGGUAUGAUGAUAGAUGAAGCAGAUGAAUUUGUAUCUGGACCUCAGAAUAAACACAAACGACCUGGAGAACCUAAUAUGCAAGGGAUCCCCAAAAGACGACGUUGUAUGUCUCCACUUCUAAGAGGAAGGCAGCAGACUCCUCCUAUUGCGAACAAUCAUAUUGGAGGAAAAGGGCCUCCUGUACCAACUGCACAAGCACAGCCAGACCUUAUCAAGCCUCUUCCUCUCCACAAAACUUCAGAAACCACUAAUGAUAUGGCAGUGGAUGAUGUGGUUGAGAAUCAUGUUGCAGACCAACUGUCAUCAGACAUUGCACCGAAUGUGAUGGAUUCUGAGUUUUCAGCAUCCUCUUCUCCAGUCAGUUUACUGGAGCGACCAACCAAUCACACGGAGGCUCUUGGCCAUGAUCAUUUAGGAACUAAUGACCUUACUGUGGGUGGAUUUUUAGAAAAUCAUGAGGAACCAAGAGAUAAAGAACAGUGUGCUGAGGAUAACAUACCAGCAUCUUCACUCAACAAAGGGAAGAAAUUGAUGCAUUGCAGAAGUCACGAGGAGGUCAACAUUGAAUUAAAAGCACAAAUAAUGAAGGAAAUUCGAAAGCCAGGAAGAAAAUAUGAAAGAAUCUUCACAUUACUGAAGCAUGUGCAAGGCAGUUUGCAAACAAGAUUAAUAUUUUUACAGAAUGUCAUUAAAGAAGCAUCAAGGUUUAAAAAGCGAAUGCUAAUAGAGCAAUUGGAGGGCUUCUUGGAAGAAAUUCAUCGCAGAUCCAAUCAGAUAAACCAUAUUAAUAGCAAUUAAAAAGAAACUAGAAUGUGGCCACCUCUUUCCCUCCCUGCCCCCAAACACAAAGUAAAAAUAUGACUGAAGGAGUCCACUGCUGUGAUCUUUGCAUUCGUUUUUGACAAGCACUGUUAGCUAUUUGAAAUACUAAAAGCAGCAAGUCUACAGAUCCUGUUUCCAUCAUUUUACAGUGACCUUUCUUCAUUUUGGUUUAUUUUUGUAAUGUGAAAAGUAUCACUCAAGAACAUUUUUAUUUAACAAACUAAAACACAAAAAAAUCCCAUAGAAAUUCUUGCUUGUCAUUGACUCUUGCGUGUCAAUUUCCCUCAGGUUCUAUUUUCUUAAUCCAACCUUCAAAAUUGUCACCUCUGUUAAGGUUGAAUUUUGCCAAAAAAGGAAAAAAAAGAAAAAAAGAAAAGAAAAAGACAAAAAAAGAAAAAAGUUACUUUGUAAUUUUUUGGGGAAAAAGCACAUACAUAAAAACAAGGAGAAGGAGAUUGGAGCCUCUGACCAUGUGAGUAUAAAAGGUCAGGAAAAGGCUCUGGCAUCCAGAGUCUGGGGUCCAGGGCCAGUGCAACACUGAUGCCCCAAGAAGCAAGGAGUGGCCUUUGGGAGUACAGCCCAGUGGUAGCUGAGACAAGAACUUCUACAGCAGAGAUGCCACUUUUGGACAUGAACUUUGAUGGGGACCAAUGUUAUGUAGGAACUGGAUUAGGUUUUGAGCCCAUUUCCUCUCAGAGACCAAGGUGGUGUGGGGAAAGGAUGCCCCUGAGGUAUUGUGGGAAAUGUCUGUAUGUUUGUUCUUGCUCCAUCUAUGAAGUAAACAUCUAUUUGUUAAAGCUGA